This 72-nucleotide transfer RNA is filed under the name Labilithrix sp. Its description in RNAcentral is "tRNA-Thr". It matches the Rfam family "tRNA". Rfam says of the family: Transfer RNA (tRNA) molecules are approximately 80 nucleotides in length. Lineage: Bacteria; Pseudomonadati; Myxococcota; Polyangiales; Labilitrichaceae. The record is from RNAcentral.
GCCGCGAUAGCUCAGCGGUAGAGCAGCGCUUUCGUAAAGCGCAGGUCGUCGGUUCAAUCCCGACUCGCGGCU